AAGGAGAAGAGCACGAGGAAGGACGUAAGUUUUCAAGUAGGAUUGAGUUGCCCCAAGAAGAAUACAAGGCGAAUGAGAUAAAGGCGGAGAUGAAAAACGGCGUCUUAAAAGUGGUGGUUCCUAAGAUCAUACAGCUACACCUUAACAAUCCUCUCCACAUUAAGGUCGACUAGAGGUUUCCUCUACGUUUCUGCAAAAGUUCUUCAUUAUCUUUACUCUUUGCUACUUUCAACCUUCUAUUUGAAUUGUUGAAGCUUUCUCUCUCCUUUGGUUUAUUGAACUAUAUCCAGUUUCUUGG
This 298-nucleotide long non-coding RNA is filed under the name Brassica rapa (field mustard). Its description in RNAcentral is "long non-coding RNA (BRAP_LNC007712)". Lineage: Eukaryota; Viridiplantae; Streptophyta; Magnoliopsida; Brassicales; Brassicaceae. The record is from RNAcentral.